GAUGAACGCUGGCGGCGUGCUUAACACAUGCAAGUCGAACGUGAGAAUAGCAAUAUUUGAAAGUGGCAAACGGGUGAGUAACACGUGGGAACCUGCCUCGAAGUGGGGGAUAACGAUUGGAAACGGUCGCUAAUACCGCACGGUUCUGCUCUGAUGGGAAUGGAGCAGAUAAAGAUUUAUCGCUUUGAGAGGGGCCCGCGGCCGAUUAGCUAGUUGGUAAGGUAAAGGCUUACCAAGGCGAUUAUCGGUAGCUGGUCUGAGAGGACGAUCAGCCACACGGGAACUGAGACACGGUCCCGACUCCUACGGGGGGCAGCAGUGAGGAAUAUUGGGCAAUGGGCGAAAGCCUGACCCAGCAACGCCGCGUGGAGGAUGAAGUAUUUCGGUAUGUAAACUUCGAAAGAAUAGGAAGAAUAAAUGACGGUACUAUUUAUAAGGUCCGGCUAACUACGUG
RNAcentral lists this ribosomal RNA (454 nucleotides) under uncultured bacterium. RNAcentral's name for it is "bacterial SSU rRNA". It matches the Rfam family "Bacterial small subunit ribosomal RNA", at positions 28 to 507 of the family's 1533-position model. The record is from RNAcentral.